AUUAGUUAGGUAUGAAAACGGAACUCCCAAUAUCUCUCGCCCUUUACCCAUGGUUCUCCGCCGAUCCACACGAUACUCACGCUGCAGCAACUCAAUCGAGCAGCCAUCCUCGGGAUUUCUUGCCGGAUGCAAGCCAGACUGCGCCAGUCAAUCGCUCCGCACUGUUGUCCCAAAAUUAUUAUUGACGGAUGCACCGCAGCCCAACCACCAUGGAGGAGGUGCCGCACGUCAUCGAGGACGACAUACCAAUGCACCGUCGUCCACGCUCGCCCGUUAUCGCCGGAGCUUACUGGCAAGGAGGCCAUUGAUCGGCAAUCCUUCCAAUUCUGCAAGGUUCAUCUGCUGCUCCCUUUGAAAUGCUGCUUCGUGGGCUUUUAACUCAAUCUAAUUCUAAUCUUAAAGGAGGUGCUGAUUCAAUCUAAUUUUGAUCUUAAAGGAGGUGCUGCUUUGAGGGUUAUUCGACCAUGUUGGUUCGUUUCUCGCAGAAGAAAGAAUAAACUAUGAACUCCUGCACUCCGGCAUUUGCUAAGCUGGUGCAUGAAAAAAAUGUACGACCAAAGACACACUGAGGAUCAAGGCGCAUGACAAAACACAUAUGACAGAUCAACACAUACCUAUGAGGUAUUGUAUGCAGCGGGGCUGCUGCUACAUCCAGUUGCUCCAAAUAUGAUCAUGUGAUGGCAGCUAUACAUCUGAUAUCUCACGCAGUUUUGUCUCAGUUCGUGCGAAACUAGCCGGAAUGGUCUGAUUCUUCUCAUGCAAUCUUCACGUAUAUGAGUACAUAAUUUAGACUAUUAGUACGUACAUAAGUUUCUUCUUUAAUCAUUUAGAAUUGUUUCUAAUGUGGCACAUGUAAUGUUUUUUUUUUCUUUUUGAAAUCUUCGUGCAUUGUAAUUCAUCGUGAAAGAUAGGAAAACACUUACCUGCCAGUUUGGAGGGCAUCCAACAUAAAAUAGAUUACAUACAGAUUUUGACACAUAAGAUUACGUUUUUAUGGUUUACCAAUGAUUCAUCUGCACUGCUAUUCCAGGAACGAAGUGGAUUUCUAAUAAUUUCUUAGUUCAUUAUUACUGGAUAUGUAAUGUGUUUUUAUUAAAUUUUUAUAUGGGCCGAGACACGCAAUGGCAGUGCAAGUCAAGAACUCUUACCAACACUACUAAAAACAGGUCGAAGGCGCAAGGCAUGGUAUAUCUAACUGAAAAGUGAUCCAUGACACCAACUACAUGCACGCUACUCUUCGCCUAAUAACUGACAUGGACAAUACAUUGCAGGUGCAACAGGGAAGUACGUACCAGAACCAAUCUGCACAAGGGCUUCAACCUUGACGUGUAUAGACAAGAAAGCAAAAUAAUAAAUGGCUGCAAUAUACAUAUAUAAGCCCAUGCUUACUGGUAAUUAAUUUGUCGUAUGGUGGUCUUCUUAUAGACAGUCUCAUUAUUGUUUUUUGUCAGAUCUUAAUACGCGCCGACGACUUUCUGAUUUAGUUAUUUCGAUUCUAUGGUUUUCCGCUGUGUAUAUUAACUCGGAUGCAUAGAUUUCACAAGUUAAUCAUUUGGAUUAUACUUGGUCAAUUGGAGCAGAUUUAAUU
Triticum aestivum (bread wheat) is the source of this 1588-nucleotide long non-coding RNA. RefSeq lists it as uncharacterized. NCBI's taxonomy places the organism in Eukaryota, Viridiplantae, Streptophyta, Magnoliopsida, Poales, Poaceae. The record is from RefSeq and is a predicted model, not a curated record. The transcript has 3 exons.